ACUUCUGUUCCUCCCCGCCCUGGUGCUGCUCCGGGUCACAUACUCGUCCUGAGCCGGCUUCAGCCUCUCCGCGCAGAAGUCUCCCGGAGCCGACUUCUGAGAGUCGAGUACUCCUAUGUGAAGACUACCAAGCUCGUGUUCAAGGGAACCAAGGCGAAGAGAUUUGCCCGAGGUUGACUGUACAUACAAAUAUUGAGCAUUUCCUCCUGGUCUCCGUGAUAAACAGAGGUUUUGAUAUUUUUAGGCGAGAUGGAAAGAAAGUAUCAAGGAGUGAGCUGAAGCCACUGCCCUUGAGAACCCUCUCGAGGAGUCUGGGCUCAUGAGGAUGCCAGAAUAAGUGGCAGUAAGAAGAAAAAGAACAAAGAUAAGAAAAGAAAAAGAGAAGAAGAUGAAGAAACCCAGCUUGAUAUGUUGAAUCACCCUGAAAUCUGGCUAUGGAAAAUAUCUUGGUAUAAAUUCAGAUGAACUUGUUGUUGGGCGUUCAGAUGCAAUUGGACCAAGAGAACAAUGGGAACCAGUCUUUAAAAUUGGGAAAAUGGCUUUGUCGACCUCAAAUAGCUGCUUUAUUAGAUACAGUGAAGCAGAGGACAUAGAAGCAAAAAGUAAAACAGCAGGAGAAGAAGAAAUGAUCAAGGCUCUCCUAAUCUCUGUCAGACCUUCACCUUUAUGACCUUGCCUUAUCUACCAGAACACAGAUCCCUCUUACUAAAGAUUAGAUCCUGUGCUGAAAGAGAAACCAAGAAAAAAGAUGACAUUCCAGAAGAAGACAAAGGAAAUAUAAAACAAUGUGAAAUCAA
This 797-nucleotide long non-coding RNA is filed under the name Homo sapiens (human). Its description in RNAcentral is "novel transcript". The record is from RNAcentral. Lineage: Eukaryota; Metazoa; Chordata; Mammalia; Primates; Hominidae.